This 262-nucleotide ribosomal RNA is filed under the name uncultured bacterium. RNAcentral describes it as "partial 16S ribosomal RNA". It matches the Rfam family "Bacterial small subunit ribosomal RNA", at positions 524 to 785 of the family's 1533-position model. The record is from RNAcentral.
UACGUAGGGAGCAAGCGUUUGUCCGGAAUCAUUGGGCGUAAAGCGCGCGUAGGUGGCCUCAUAAGUCCGCUGUGAAAGUCAAAGGCUCAACCUUUGAAAGCCGGUGGAUACUGUGGGGCUAGAGUACGGAAGAGGCGAGUGGAAUUCCUGGUGUAGCGGUGGAAUGCGCAGAUAUCAGGAGGAACACCAAUAGCGAAGGCAGCUCGCUGGGACGUUACUGACACUGAGGCGCGAAAGCGUGGGGAGCGAACAGGAUAGAUAC